GGCCUACCAUGGUGGUAACGGGUAACGGGGUGUUAGGGCACGACACCGGAGAGGGAGCCUGAGAAACGGCUACCACAUCCAAGGAUGGCAGCAGGCGCGCAAAUUACCCAAUCCCGACACGGGGAGGUAGUGACAAUAAAUAACAAUACGGGGCUCUUUUGGGUCUCGUAAUUGGAAUGAGUACAAUUUAAAUCUCUUAACGAGGAACAAUUGGAGGGCAAGUCUGGUGCCAGCAGCCGCGGUAAUUCCAGCUCCAAUAGCGUAUAUUAAAGUUGUUGCAGUUAAAAAGCUCGUAGUUGAAUUUCGGGGUCAGUAGGUUGGUCGUGCCUAUGGUAUGUACUGGCUUUACUGAUUCCUCCUUCUUGAAGAACUGUAAUGUCAUUAAUUUGGUGUUGCAGGGAAACAGGACUGUUACUUUGAAAAAAUUAGAGUGUUUAAAGCAGGCUAACGCUUGAAUACAUUAGCAUGGAAUAAUGAAAUAGGACGUUCGAUCCUAUUUUGUUGGUUUCUAGGAUUGACGUAAUGAUUAAUAGGGAUAGUUGGGGGCAUUAGUAUUCAAUUGUCAGAGGUGAAAUUCUUGGAUUUAUUGAAGACUAACUACUGCGAAAGCAUUUGCCAAGGAUGUUUUCAUUAAUCAAGAACGAAAGUUAGGGGAUCGAAGACGAUCAGAUACCGUCGUAGUCUUAACCAUAAACUAUGCCGACUAGGGAUCAGAUGAUGUUAAUUUUUUAAUGACUCAUUCGGCGCCUUACG
This 753-nucleotide ribosomal RNA is filed under the name uncultured Glomeraceae. RNAcentral describes it as "SSU rRNA". It matches the Rfam family "Eukaryotic small subunit ribosomal RNA", at positions 338 to 1092 of the family's 1831-position model. The record is from RNAcentral. Lineage: Eukaryota; Fungi; Glomeromycota; Glomeromycetes; Glomerales; Glomeraceae.